This 253-nucleotide ribosomal RNA is filed under the name uncultured bacterium. RNAcentral's name for it is "partial 16S ribosomal RNA". It matches the Rfam family "Bacterial small subunit ribosomal RNA", at positions 524 to 776 of the family's 1533-position model. The record is from RNAcentral.
UACGGAGGGGGCUAGCGUUGUUCGGAAUUACUGGGCGUAAAGCGCGCGUAGGCGGACCUGCAAGUCGGGGGUGAAAGCCCGAGGCUCAACCUCGGAACUGCCUUCGAUACUGCGGGUCUCGAGUCCGGGAGAGGUGAGUGGAAUUCCUAGUGUAGAGGUGAAAUUCGUAGAUAUCAGGAGGAACACCUAUUGCGAAGGCAGCUCGCUGGGACGUAACUGACGCUGAGACGCGAAAGCGUGGGGAGCAAACAGG